ACGAACGCUGGCGGCGUGCUUCACACAUGCCAGUCGCACGCUGAAGCUUGGUGCUUGCACUGGGUGGAUGAGUGGCGAACGGGUGAGUAAUACGUGAGUAACCUGCCCUUGACUCUGGGAUAAGCCUGGGAAACUGGGUCUAAUACUGGAUACGACAUGUCACCGCAUGGUGGUGUGUGGAAAGGGUUUUACUGGUUUUGGAUGGGCUCACGGCCUAUCAGCUUGUUGGUGGGGUAAUGGCUCACCAAGGCGACGACGGGUAGCCGGCCUGAGAGGGUGACCGGCCACACUGGGACUGAGACACGGCCCAGACUCCUACGGGAGGCAGCAGUGGGGAAUAUUGCACAAUGGGCGGAAGCCUGAUGCAGCGACGCCGCGUGAGGGAUGACGGCCUUCGGGUUGUAAACCUCUUUCAGCACGGAAGAAGCGAAAGUGACGGUACGUGCAGAAGAAGCGCCGGCUAACUACGUG
RNAcentral lists this ribosomal RNA (471 nucleotides) under uncultured bacterium. RNAcentral's name for it is "partial 16S ribosomal RNA". It matches the Rfam family "Bacterial small subunit ribosomal RNA", at positions 29 to 507 of the family's 1533-position model. The record is from RNAcentral.